GUAGGUGGCAAGCGUUGUCCGGAAUUAUUGGGCGUAAAGCGCGCGCAGGCGGUUCUUUAAGUCUGAUGUGAAAGCCCACGGCUCAACCGUGGAGGGUCAUUGGAAACUGGAGAACUUGAGUACAGAAGAGGAAAGCGGAAUUCCACGUGUAGCGGUGAAAUGCGUAGAGAUGUGGAGGAACACCAGUGGCGAAGGCGGCUUUCUGGUCUGUAACUGACGCUGAGGCGCGAAAGCGUGGGGGGAGCAAACAGGAUUAGAUACCCUGGUAGUCCACGCCGUAAACGAUGAGUGCUAAGUGUUAGGGGGUUUCCGCCCCUUAGUGCUGCAGCUAACGCAUUAAGCACUCCCGCCCCGGGAGUACGGCCGCAAGGCUG
RNAcentral lists this ribosomal RNA (374 nucleotides) under uncultured organism. RNAcentral's name for it is "partial 16S ribosomal RNA". It matches the Rfam family "Bacterial small subunit ribosomal RNA", at positions 527 to 896 of the family's 1533-position model. The record is from RNAcentral.